This is a small nuclear RNA of Sorex fumeus (smoky shrew), 106 nucleotides long. Lineage: Eukaryota; Metazoa; Chordata; Mammalia; Eulipotyphla; Soricidae. The record is from RefSeq and is a predicted model, not a curated record.
GUAUACUCACUUCGAUAGCACAUAUACUAAAAUUAGAACAGUGCAGAGAUUAGCAUGGUCCCUGCACAAGGGUGACACGCACAUUCGUGAGGCGUUCCUUAUUUUU